UGGGGAAUCUUGGACAAUGGGGGCAACCCUGAUCCAGCAAUGCCGCGUGAGUGAUGAAGGCCUUAGGGUCGUAAAGCUCUUUCGCCUGUGAAGAUAAUGACGGUAGCAGGUAAAGAAACCCCGGCUAACUCCGUGCCAGCAGCCGCGGUAAUACGGAGGGGGUUAGCGUUGUUCGGAAUUACUGGGCGUAAAGCGCACGUAGGCGGACCAGAAAGUUGGGGGUGAAAUCCCGGGGGCUCAACCCCGGAACUGCCUCCAAAACUAUUGGUCUAGAGUUCGAGAGAGGUGAGUGGAAUUCCAAGUGUAGAGGUGAAAUUCGUAGAUAUUUGGAGGAACACCAGUGGCGAAGGCGGCUCACUGGCUCGAUACUGACGCUGAGGUGCGAAAGUGUGGGGAGCAAACAGGAUUAGAUACCCUGGGUAGUCCACACCGUAAAACGAUGAAUGCCAGUCGUCGGGUAGCAUGCUAUUCGGUGACAC
RNAcentral lists this ribosomal RNA (479 nucleotides) under uncultured bacterium. Its description in RNAcentral is "bacterial SSU rRNA". It matches the Rfam family "Bacterial small subunit ribosomal RNA", at positions 355 to 849 of the family's 1533-position model. The record is from RNAcentral.